GGAUGUGAGGGCGAUCUGGCUGCGACAUCUGUCACCCCAUUGAUCGCCAGGGUUGAUUCGGCUGAUCUGGCUGGCUAGGCAGGUGUCCCCUUCCUCCCUCACCGCUCCAUGUGCGUCCCUCCCGAAGCUGCGCGCUCGGUCGAAGAGGACGGCCUUCCCCGAAUAGAGACGGACCGGUCUUCGGUCGAGGGUAUACGAGUAGCUGCGCUCCCCUGCUAGAACCUCCAAACAAGCUCUCAAGAAAAUAAAUGAAAUAAGUAGAGAAUGUUCCUUUAUUAAAAUUUUGUUUCAGGGGGCAAGGUGGUGUCACAUCUG
Molecule: small nuclear RNA, 315 nt
Filed under: Erinaceus europaeus (western European hedgehog)
Lineage: Eukaryota; Metazoa; Chordata; Mammalia; Eulipotyphla; Erinaceidae
Description: 7SK RNA
Rfam family: 7SK RNA
About the family: 7SK was discovered as an abundant small nuclear RNA in the mid-70s but a possible function has only recently been suggested. Two independent studies have found that 7SK RNA binds the CDK9/cyclin T complex (known as elongation factor P-TEFb).
Source: Rfam by way of RNAcentral